AGUCACUGACAUUAGAUACCCGUGUAGUCCAGGGUGUAAACGCUGCAGACUUGGUGUUGGAAGCCCUUUGGGGGCAUUCAGUGCCGGAGAGAAGUUGUUAAGUCUGCUACUUGGGAGUACGUCCGCAAGGAUGAAACUUAAAGGAAUUGGCGGGGGAGCACCGCAACGGGAGGAGCGUGCGGUUUAAUUGGAUUCAACACCGUAAAACUCACCAGGGAAGACUGUUACAUGAAGGCCGAGAUGAAGACUCUGCUAGAUUUUCAG
RNAcentral lists this ribosomal RNA (264 nucleotides) under uncultured archaeon. Its description in RNAcentral is "partial 16S ribosomal RNA". It matches the Rfam family "Archaeal small subunit ribosomal RNA", at positions 717 to 982 of the family's 1478-position model. The record is from RNAcentral.